AGUGAACGCUGGCGGUAGGCCUAACACAUGCAAGUCGAACGGCAGCACAGUAAGAGCUUGCUCUUACGGGUGGCGAGUGGCGGACGGGUGAGGAAUACAUCGGAAUCUACUUUUUCGUGGGGGAUAACGUAGGGAAACUUACGCUAAUACCGCAUACGACCUACGGGUGAAAGCAGGGGAUCUUCUGACCUUGCGCGAUUGAAUGAGCCGAUGACGGAUUAGCUAGUUGGCGGGGUAAAGGCCCAACAAGGCAACGAUCCGUAGCUGGUCGGAGAGGAUGAUGAGCCGCACUGGAACUGAGACACGGUCCAGACUCCUACGGUAGGCAGCAGUGGGGAAUAUUGGAGAAUGGGCGCAAGCCUGAUCCAGCCAUACCGCGUGGGUGAAGAAGGCGUUCGGGUUGUAAAGCCUUUUUGUUGGGAAAGAAAAGCAGCAGAUUAAUACCCCGCUGUUCUGACGGUACCCAAAGAAUAAGCACCGGCUAACUUCGUG
This 492-nucleotide ribosomal RNA is filed under the name uncultured bacterium. RNAcentral's name for it is "partial 16S ribosomal RNA". It matches the Rfam family "Bacterial small subunit ribosomal RNA", at positions 29 to 507 of the family's 1533-position model. The record is from RNAcentral.